AUGUUAAAGAUUGGUUCAUGAUGAGUUAAGGGAAUUGGAAAUUCAGUUGAAAGAAUUGGUUGAUAAAAGUUUCAUUCAACCUAGUACAACACUUUUGAGGAGCACCAGUUUGUUGGUGAGAAAGAAAAUGGACUUAGAGAUUGUUCAUUGAUUAUAGACAAUGGAAUUGGUAACGAUCGAGAACCGUUAUCCAUGAUAGUGUACUGAUGUUUAGUUGAUAAGCUCAGAGAUGUUUGUGUAAUUUCAAAGAUUGAUUGAGGUCUGGUUAUUACCAAUUGAAGAUUUUGAGCGACAUUGAUUAUAAGAUGGUUUUCUGGAUUUGUUAUGAUCUUUUAUGAGCUUUGGUGAUGCUAUAAGAAAACUCACGUUGUUUUAGGAGUUUAUGGAUGAAGUAUUCCACGAAUGUCGUGAUAAAUUGUUAUCAUUUGUCAUUGACGAUAUUCUGGUACAUUCUGAGCUAGAGCAGAGCAUGUAAACGUAUUAAGUCGAUGAAGCAAAGAUUGAGAACGUUGGUUGUAUGCUAAGUUUAGCAAAGGCUAAAGUUAAAUGAAUCAAGUGGCAUUCUAAGAUUUGUUAUAUCUGCUUAAGGUAUUCAAGUGAAUCCUUAAAAGAUAGCAGAAAUUGAGAAUUUGGAACAACCACGAGUCGUAAUUGAGAUUUGGAAAUUCUUAACUUAUCAGGCUAUUUUGGAUGGUUGUGAAAGAAUUUUUAGUCAUUGCUUUGUCAUUGACGAGACUGUUGAUAAAGGAGGUUAUGUAUGAGUGGGAAGGAAAUUGUGAGCAAAGGAUUCAACAACUGAAGUAUUUCCUCACUCAUGCACAUAUUUAGUAAUCCCAGAGAAUAGUGGUAAUCAUAAAUUUUUAGUGAUGUUUCUUGAAUGGUAUUGGAUGCAUGUUGAUGCAAAUGUUAGGGUGAUUGCAUAUGUUUCAUGACAAAUGGAACCUCAUAAGAUGAAUUACCCUACUGGUGAUUUGGAAGUCACGAUUACCACCCUUGCUGUGAAGUUAUGGAGACAUUAUAUGUUGAUAAGAAUGCAAGAUUUUACAAAUCAAAAGAGUCUCCAAUAUUUGUUUACUCGGAAGGAUUUUGAUAUGAGGCAACAAAGGUGGAUUGAAUUACUUAGUGAUUAUGAUUGUACGAUCAGGGUGAUCGUGAAUUGUUGUAGCUGAAGCACUUGAUAAGAAGACUAAAGUAAGAUUAAUGUCUGGCACAUUUACCAAGAGUAUCAUCUUGUGGAUUGAAAACCAACGGAAGAAAAAUUAAGAAUGGAAGAUCGAGAAGAAGUUAUACUUGUUAAAUUUCAAGUUAGGCCUGUUUGGUAAGGUCGUACUCGAAACUUAAAUGUUUGACGAGGAAAUUUAAGAAUUAACUAAGUCAAGGAAAGAAAGGAAAAAGAAUGAGUACAUGAUUCGUGAAUCAAAUGGUAUGUGGAUACAAGCAAACGAAAAAGUAUGUGCCUAAUGCUGUGGGUUUAAAGCAAGCAAUUUUGGACGAAGUACACUGUUCAACUUCUGCAAUAUUCUGAAAGUAAUAAGAUUUAUCAUACCACUCGACAGUUUUAUUUGAUCAGCAGAUUGAGGCAGAAAGAGAUAAACCUUUGGAUUGAGACAGCUAUUUUCUGUUUCGAAACAGAAAUGGAAAGAUAUUACUUUGGACUAUGUGUACAAGUUUCCUUGUAUACAAGAUGGUUACGAUCGAAUGUGAAGUGAUGGUUGGGCAACGUAACAAGUUAGUAUAUUUACUCCAGUGUUGAGUAAUAACUUUUUCCCAAACAGGACAACGGUACUUAUUUGUUUUAUGGAAAGAGAAUUGGAUUACGGAACCACUGAGUUUCUUAAGUAUGUUGAGUGCGCAGUUUCUGAAAUAACGCCAUAGGGUCCCUGAAGCGUGUCGUGUGAAUGAAAUGCUUCUGAAUAGAGAAAGAUUCGAUCAAGAAAGAGUUUUAGUAGACCCUGAGACUAUGGAUGAGUCUCCUCAAAGUAUUCAGGUGAUUAAGUUAACCUGAAGUAACCAGGAAUGGCAAAAGAGAUCAACAGAUGGAUAUGCCACUAAUCGAGUAUAUAAGGUAAAUGGUUUUAUAUUUUCGAAGUGUUCACCAUAGAAAAGUAUAAUUCGGGUUGGAAAGGAAGGCAAGUUAAAUCCUAAAUGAAUCGGACUUAGCGUGAUCAUCGAAAGGUUGGUGAAGUUGAUUAUAGAAUUGAAUGGCUUCCAGAGUUGUCGUAAGUGCAUGAUGUGUUUCAUGAUUCGAUAUUUUGGAAAUUUCACCACGAACAGAAAUGGUGAGAUUUGGAAAGAAGACAAAAUAAGUUUAUAUACAUCAGACCGUUUUGAUCACUAAAGGAAUCGAUAAAGUUGCAUACAAGCUUGUGAUGCCUUUAGAAUUGGCUAAGAGACAUAAUGUAUUUUGUGUUCGAUGCGUUGUCACUAGGUGGCAGAGUCGUCUCAUGGAAUUCUGGUGCAACUAUUGAGAAUUAAGCUGGAUCUAAUUAGUGAGGAGCUAUGGACGACUUUGGAUUGGAAAAAGAAGGUCCUGAGAAUUAAGACAGAGUAAGUGGUAAAAGUAUUGUGGAGGAACCAUUCAGCGGAAGAAGCUACUUGGGAGACGGAAGAACGGAUGAGAGAUAUGUAUCCGACGCUAUUUUAUGAGUUUUGAUGGGUUGGUUGGUGGCUGGAAUUUCGGGGACGAAAUUCUAUAAGGAGGGAAGAUUGUCACAGCCCGUUCCAAAAUAUUACAUUCGUGGCUGUGAAUGGACGAAAUUGCCCUUAAGAAAUACUAAGUAUGUGAAGCUCAAGUUGAUAAUUAUCUAGGUUCCUAAGUUUUGAAAAUAAAAUGGAAUUUAAUAAGGAUGGAACUUAGAUUUUUAGGUUAAAAAUUUGUGGUUUGGAGUUGGGGAUUGAAAAAGGACCACGUGGGAUCCCCACACCCCUCAAUCCUCUCCCUAUUUUCUGCAUGCUGUCUCUCUCUCUCUUCCCUCACGACUCUCUCACUCUCUCUGUCACUCUUCUUCUCCGUUCGAACAAACCAACCACAAAACAACCUUAAAUUUCCACCAACGACGGAGUUAAGACCACCAUCAAACUUCUGAAGACUUCACGAUCACGAUGGUAUCCAUUUCAGGUAAGUUUUGCUUCGGAAAACCCUAGUUUCAAAGUUCCCGUGAAGAGCACUGUUCAUGAUCUUCGAAUUGACUUUGUUUUAGGUGAAACCAAGCUCACAGUGACCUUAAGGAGGUCACGAGGAGGCUCGGAGUGCCUCGUUUGAACAAAAUGGAUGUCGGGAUCACUUGGUUCGAGUUUGGCCGGAUUUUGGAAUUUUUGGAAAGGUAUGAUCCCGUUUUUUUUAGGCCUUAAAACUAGUCCAACGCGAUAGUAGAUGUUUAGGGCUUCAAUUUGGUAUAAAUUACGUGAAAAAUGGAUGAAAAACGAAGGAGAAUAGCAAGUUUGAAAUUUUUCCAGAAACCGGCGACUCGCCGGAAAAGACAGGGAAUAUUCCGUCAGUUUUGACGGAAUAUGCUAACGGCGUUGACUGACGCCGUUAAUUAUUUAACGGAAUAUGCUAGGAUUUAACGGAAUAUUCCCUAACUGCCGUUACUGUGCCGUCAGUGUGCACGGCAUGUGGCCGCGCGUGGGGGCGCGUAGGUCCGUGCCACGUCAGGCGCGUAGGGGCGCGUGAGACCUCCAAAAAUUAUUUUAAAAAUAUAGGGAUGAUCCUGAGGUUGUGUAGGUCACAGUGGUAUAUUCAUAUACCCAAUUUGAGCAAUAUAUGAGGAGUUAUUAGCUAAGAGUGGGAUUAUACGUUAAAUAACGUCAAUUUGGUUACUUCUCGUAUAGGCGAGGAUUAUACGGACGUUGGGCAUGGCUAAGGGAGGCUCAGGGACCUUCGACACGUCGAUGUAUUCUGUGAGUGGGCAGUUUUGUUUUCCGUAUACAUAUAUACUUGCCGUUUUCCCAGAAAUUGAAAAUGCAUGAAAUUAUGCUUUAAAUGAAAAUGUAUAAAAGUAUAUGAGAUAUAUUAGUUGAAAUGCCAUGCAUAGAAGUAUGCGAAAAGUAUAUAGAAUUAUAUGAAAAACGUGAAUCGAAUUGCCAUGCAUGAAAUGAUAUGAAUUGAUAUAUGAUGCAUAUGUAUGAAUUGGUGCGGCGGACGCACAGGUGAGUAUCAGGUGAGUAUUUAAAUACUGUUAUGAUGAUGUUGAUAUAUAUUGAGCUCAAAUCCUGCACCAUGGUUUAGUGCUUAUAGUAUUCACCGCAUCGCACGCUCGCCUUGGAUCCAAGUAGAUGCUGGUCGCACAGUCCACGCGGAGUGGGUGCGACGGGCCAGUCGUAGAGUGUUAGUGAGAUUUCGACUGGUGGGUGACCUUAGAUUAUGUGCACAGAUGAUUGAUGAGAAAGCACUAGAGCAUAAUAUUAACCAUUGAGUCGUACAGACUACAUUAGGUGGUUCCGACUUAUGUGCAGAAGGUCGGACAGGUCACAGAGGUGACUCCGGCAGAGUGAGAGUGAUAGAUUUUGAGCUCUAGGUUCAACCGUACAGGGCUAUUAGAGGGCCUCCGGUUGAUUACUUUCUUGCACCUGAUAUGAUUAUUGUUGAUGCAUCCAUACUUAACUGUUGAAUUAGACAUGGCAUGGCAUGAUUGAUAAAGAAAAAUGUUAAGAUAGUAAAAACGAAGUUUUGAGAAUAUAUAUGUAUAUUUAUAUUUUACAUUUCUGGGAAAGUAUACAAGUUUUACGGAGAGGGGUUACAACGUUUUGAGAAAUGUUUGGAUUUGGAAAAGAAUUGUUUUACUGACCCACUCAAUUUUGGUUUUGCGCCCCUCCAGGUUAAAGAAUAGCUGAGGUGUGGUGGCUACGAGGAAUUCAGCGGGGUUCUGACAGAAUGGAUCAAAUUAGGACUCACCUUCGGGUGUAUCAACUUAUAAAUUGUAUCUUAAAGCUUCCGUACAAUGCAAAUGGUUACGUCACUCUCACGUGACGGCCAGCAUGCCCUCCUUCGGGACGGGAUGUGUCAGUUUGCGCGACGAAAUAUUUCAAAGCACAAAGUUUUUGGUUUUUUAUUUAAUUAAAUUAAUUUAAUAUUUUGAGCGACGAAAUUAAUUGUUUGCUAGACGAAAUAUUUUGUUGUGCAAGGUAUUUUAUUUUAUUUUUUGUUAUUUCUCUUAUUUUGAUUUAAUUAUAGUAAUUAUUUGUGCAACGAAAUAUUUGGUAGUGCAAGAUUUUUUGAAUUUUUACUUUUUAAAUUUAAUUUAAUGUAUCUUUAUUUUUUUUAAUUACUUUAAUUUGAAUUGAAUAUUUAAAAUAAAAUUGCAUAUGAAAAAUAGUGAUCAAAUUAUCCAUAAUAUAUAUUAUAUUAAAAAUGUACACAUAAAUUAACAAAGUAUAAUAAUAAAAUCCUAAUACAAGUCUAAUCUAGUGGUACUGGUAGGGGAUAUGGUCCGAUAGCGUCCUAAUCCUCAACUUUCGCCGUCAAAGUCUCGAUGAUUCCCUACGAACAAUACAAACAUGGUCAAAUAACUAAAAAACAACAUAAAAUAAUACCAAAAAAUGGGCAUAAUCUCCUCUAAAAUUGGCAUACCCCAAACUCCACCCCACACCAAACCCAAUUAAAUAACUCCAAAAACACAUAUUAAUGAAAAAAAAAUUAAAAUUUAGUGAGAAAAUACCUUUUGGCAAGAUUGACAAUGAGUGAGAAUGAAAGAGAGGAGUGAGUGAGAGUUAGAGAGAGAUGAGAGAUAGAGGGAGUGAGUGAGAGUGAGAGAUAGAGAAGAGAGAGUGAGUGAGAGUGAGAGAUAGAGAAGAGAGAGAGAAGAGAGAUUAAGUGAGUGAGCGUGAGAGAGAGGGUCGGAUUUGGCAAGAGGGAAAUAGAAGAGAAGUAAGAGAAUAGAGAAAGACAGUGAGAAAAUUGUGGAGGAGUUAUUUUGGUUUUAAAAACCUUAUCACUUUGCGCAACGAAACAUUGGUCGCGCAAAGUCUUAAAAAAAUUUAAAAAAUAAAAUUUCCUGCAUCCAAUUUUUAAGGCUCGUCCUAACUUUUAGGGUUUUGCACAACGAAGUGUUGGUUGCACAAAGUUUUGCGCAACGAAGGAUUCGUCGCACAAAGUCUUACAAAAAUUUUAAAAAAAAAUUCCUUUGUCCCAUUUUUGGCGCUCACCCAAAUUUAAGGAUUUUGCACGACGAAAUAUAUGUUCAUCACACAAAAUUUAAAAAAAUAAUUUUUAUAAAAAUAAAAAAGAAUUUUUUUUAUUUUUCAAUUUAAAAUAUAAAUAAUUUAAAAUAAAUAGAGUUUAGGUGACCAAAUGUUGAUUUGUAGCGCAAAGAAAAUAAUUUAGUUUAACAAUAUAAAAUAUAGAAUUAAAUAAAAAACAAGCAAAUAGGGUUUAGGCAACGAAAUAUUGAUAUUCAUCACGCAAAGUUUUAAAAAAUAAUAAUAAUAACUUAUGAAAAUAACUAUAUUUUAAAUUUUAUAAUAUAAAAUUAAAUAAAAAUAAAUAAAUUGGUUUAGGUGACGAAAUAUUUGGAUUUCGUCGCGCAAAGGUUUUUAAAAAAUAAUUUUUUAUUUUUGUAAAGACUUUGUGCGAAGUUUAAAAUUUGGUCGCACAAAGUAACUUUGAGCAAUGAUAUUUGUUUCGUCGUGCAAAAUUUCAUCCCGCAAGACUUUGUGGGACGAAGUUCAAAAGUUUGUCGCACAAAGUGACUAUGCGCGACGAUGUGUGUUUCGUCGCAUAAGGGGUUGCUUUUUUACUAUUGAAAUAUAAUAUCUCAAAUGUGUGUGACUAAUUUAAAAUAUCUCCGUACACAGUUCCGAUUCCGAUUCAAUUAACAAUAUUUAACUUCACAUUGAAAUUAUUAAAACUUAAUUACCAUAGUGACAUAGAUAAGUGAAAUUAUUCAAACCUAAUCAACGACUUAGACGACUUGUUUCAUAAAUAAUGAUAAGAUGUGAGCACUCAGCACAGGCAUAUGACUCAUGUAGGUUUUAAAGUUUUCAAAAAUUCCAAAAGUACCAAAUUUUCCAAGUCAAAAUAGAUGUUGAAAUUUCAAAUGUAUUUGGACAUGAAAUUAGAAGAAAUUUUUCAUAAUUUUUCAUAAUGAAAUGGAGUUCCUUGAUUCUAAUCUGAAACGUCAAAAAAUCAGUCUACAGCACUAAUUAUAAUAAAAACGAAAUAUAAAUAUGAAACUGCUACAACCAACCAAUAUUGUCACUUUAUUUAUAAAACAAUAUUUGGGGAGAGCGAGUCAAACUCAGAAUUUCACAUACAAAAGCAAGUUAUCCUCCCAAUUGAUCUUUGGCAAUUAUCUGUUGAGCAUUGCUUCCAAAUAAAGAGAUAUUUGAAAAGCCAUUUUGUAAUGGAGUUUAUUUUUCUAUUAAUCUUCGCCACCUUGAUGUCAGCAGACCGGCAUUGAAACUGAGAUAAACAAUAACGAAAUAUUGCUGUUUUAACUGCACAUUAUAGUGUAUACCAAUAUGGGUAACCCACUCCAUAAACUUUAAAUUUUCUAUGCAUCUGAUUCCUCUGCACAUACAUUUAUGGCCACUAGUUUAAUUUAAUCUUAACUUGGUAAUUUUGGAUACAGCUCAAGGUUUGAACUUAUUCCUCUUGUUCUUUCUAAGAUUCUCAAGUCCACCAGUUAUAUAUUUCCUUUUGUCAUGACCGUAUGAGUGUGUCCAAUUUUAUAGGUUGUUGCUUUAUUGGCUUUCCAUGUCAGUCAGCAUUGUUUGCAUUCUGUUUGGUUUUAUAUGAUGUAAGCGAUAUAUUAGGAUUAGGGGAGUGAAAUUGGAAUUUAAACGCAAAUAGAUAAAACAUUAUUCUAAUCAAUUUAAUGAAAAUCAAAAUUAUUUCUCUUUGUUUUUAUUUAUAUAUUUGUCUUAAAUAUAAAAUGAGAAAAGUUGGGCCCUUAGUGCAUUGUUGACAUUUAUUGUGAGAUAUUAAAACACAACACAUGAAGAGUUUACGUGUUACAAUACCAACGGAAAGUAUAUUUUAGUUUUCAAACGACAAAUACAAACAUAUGCAUGCGUACACAUGUAUCAGGUAUGAUAUUUAUACUAAAAGACGUUUGCUUGCGGUUGAAAAGUUAAAUUGAAGUGUCACAUCAUCUCAAGGGUUAUGGCACCUUUGUUUUCUCCAGAAUCUCUACUGGUGUAAAAUUGAGGCAAAUAAUAUAAGUUGGUGAUCAUAAUUCAUAACACAUCGCUUUGCCACGGGCCCUCAGCUUUUGAGUUGUUUCCACCCAAAGACCAACACCUGCAGUCUAACUUUAAAAGAGAAUAUGAGUAAGGUUUGCAACGGUUGUCGACCACCACUUCACUAAAUUCUGAUUUACCUUUUUCAGACUCAAACGGUCGAAAAUAGUAGUAAAGAUUUUCACUUCGAGUUCCUGAUAUUGUGGCUGGUUUGGCCGCUUAGGUUUUAGUUUGCCGUGGUUGUGCAAUUCUCGGACGGUUCAUCUGGCAACAGCCGUCAGCUGCCGCCGUUGUCCAACACAGAGGUCGGUGCAAUUUGGUUUGGAUCAGUUUUACCUGAAAAUUUCAGAUAAAUUAAUCAGCCAUGGAGUGCUGCAAUUAGAUUCGGUUUGAACAAACCAAUGUGAGAAACCAAACAAAUUACAGUUGCUUAACUUCCAAUCAUGUGGAUUAAUCAUAUUGAAAACCCACUGAAGGGUUUUGUGGAUUAAUCAUAUUGGUGUACUAAUUUGAAAACUCAAUGAAUAUAACAAUGAAUUUGAAAUCCCAAUCCAUUAAUCAUCUUGGUGGUGUCGUUUCUACAAUUUCUGAGGACCUUUGGUGGCAGCGAUGUUAGUAAAACGACGUCUCUUAUAGAUUUGUGAGUACCUUUCAGUGGGUUUUGAUAAGGAAAUCGUGAAUUUACUGGCUUUAUGUAGUUUAUGAAGAAUCGGUGAGAGAAAAAGUUCAUGUGUUCAUGAUAUGGGGUGAACCCUAAACUCUCUUAAUUAGAAUUAGUCUUAGAUGAAAUCUGUAUAAGGAAAGAGGGGAAGGAUAUGGCCACCAGUGGCUUGAAGUCGGGUUGGGGCCGUGGAGGCAGAGGACUGGGAUAGGGACUUGUCGGCGACGGAGGGGUAGGGUCGCUGGCGCUGGGUAUAACAGAUGUCACAGAUGAAGUGCAGGGCCGGCCCUGAGAAUUUGAGGGCCCUAGGCGAGUCUUCAAAGUGGGGUCCUAAAGUUUUUGGACCUCCGACUUUUUGUAUAUUGGUAUGUAGUAAGAAGAAUUCGCUAAUUACAUAAAAAGUAUAUUUCUUUAUCGAAUAUCAUUAAAAAUUAAUAUCAAAAGAAAAAAAUAUACUAACAUUACUUAAUAUUCCAUGUCACAUGUCUUUAAACGCAAAUGCACUAAGAUUGAGAGUGAAGAGCAAUAAAACUUAAUGAUCAAGAGAGUAAAAAAACAAUAAAACUUGAUUGACGAAUAUAAUAAUUCAACAACGCCAAGUGGUUCUCUUGUGUUCUUUCUAAAAUCAACACACACUAGCAAAUCAAAUUUUAGAAUAACCUAGUUUAACAAUAAAGUAUUGAAAAAGAAAAUUUAAAUUUAAAGUUAUGGUUACCUCAAAUUACAAUCUUUAGGACCAAGUGAUAGUUACUUAAACAUUCAAUAGAAAAAGAAAGACUAGGAAGUUGAAAGAAAAAGGAUUACAAAGUUAUGAUUAUUCUGGUUUUUUGUUAUUUUUUUAGGUUAUUUUCAAAAGCAAAAGAAAAAAAAAUGCAUUUGGACAAAUUGAGGCCAUUAAUUUCACUAGCUUCUUACAAUUGGCCUUCGUAUGUUUGUUAUUUAAGAAACUCAAGUUUUUUCUAUUUAUACAAAUUUUAUUUAAAAUAUUUUUGAAAAUAAAUAAGAAUUUAAACAUAAACCACCCACCAACAUGAGGUUUUGUUUUUUUUUUUGUUUUCUAAAGUUGAAAAUUUUAAAUUCAUUCAAAAUUAAUAUUUGUUUAAUUAUUUUAACUCCUUUUGAUUCUUGUAAUUUUAAAAUUUUUAAAGAGCAAUUUAUCUUUAAUUUUAAUCUUUAAUUUCAUAGAUUUGAAAAAAGCAAAAACUAAUGCCUACAAGGUGUUUUGAACUACCCACCUCAAUGAAAACGGAAUGGAACCGUUUCCACUGCACCAACAAAAUAAUUGUGAUAUUUUUUUCGUUUUCUUUAUUUAUAUUUUAUAUACAUGAUGUAUAAAAAAAUUUGGGGGCCCCCCGAACUUAGGGGCCCUACAUAAUAAUUUCUCUGUGGUUAGGCUCAGUUUAACCUAAAAUUAGGGGAUAAACCAAACACUAUUGAAUCGGUUGUUUCACCUUGCUUAACGACAUAUGCAAUGAUAUAACUAAAAUUGUACUUAGAAUCAAAACAACUUCAAACUAAUAUGAUCACCAUUUCUAGGGUUGUGAAUUUUUGUGUCGAAAUCCCGAAACCGACCCAAAAAGUCCCAAACUAACUAUCAAAAAAACCGAAAAUCCGCGAAAUUUCAGUAACCGAAACAAAAAAAAUCCAGAAACUUCAGUAUGGACAUCGGUUACUCAUCGUUUUAUUUUUUAAGAGAUUUUUCAGUGUGACCGUCACACGAGGCAGUACACCACAUGUCUUUAUAUUAGGGGUGGGCACUUGGAACCGAAAACCAAAACCGAAACACGAACCAAAUCGAACCGCACUGAACGGUUUGGUUUUGUGGUUUUGAAACGGUUUCGGUUUUGAAACCAAACCGCAAAAUAGGAAACGGUUUGGUUUCAGUUUUAGCUUUUGAAAACCGCACCGAAACCGAAACCGCAUAACUUUAUUAAAUGUUAAAUUCUAAUUGGUUAUUUCAUUGAGUCCAUACAUUUACUAUGGACUCAACCUCAUCAUAAUAUUUCAACAUAAUCUCUAUCUUUUCUUUCUUCUAGUCUGUAUUGCUCAACUUUAUUCAUCUAAGCUUCUAACUCUCUCUCGGCCUCCCUUUCAUUCCAGCUCCAAGCCUCUAGAGUUCAGGGUUGGGUUUUGAAUCAAAAGGGGGUUUGGAUUUUCGUUGGUUAGUCUUCGAAUUUUCUUCGUUCAUGAACAUCAGAAUGUCAGAAUGUUGUUGAUUGGUAAAUAAAUUAUUCAUAUGUAUAAACCUGAUAAAUCAGAGUAAAAUUGAAUAUGAUUCAAGUUCACGAGUUUUGCAAAAACAAAAGACAAAAUGUCAUAUAUGUUCCUAGAUUAGUCGAUAUAAUCCACUUCUUAUUAGAUUUAAGUAUUAAAUUUAGCAGAUUAAGUAUUAAUUAGGCUUGUUGCUUACUGGAAUGGCCAUGCCUUGAAAUUUCAUUUUCUUUCAAUUUUUAUAUAAAAUGCGAAUAAUGGGUAGAUACUAGAUAGGUUUCUGCCCAGUAUACAUAAUUACACACACCUACACGAAUUGAAUCCACCCCCUUGAUUAAGGAGAUGUUCGCAUUACUUAGGACUGCAUGUUGAUUUCAAUCCCUGCAUCAUGAUGUGAACUCUCUUGAACUUAAGAUUGAAUGUGUAUUGCAUGCUUGGUUGUUGACUACAAUAAAUAAUGUUGCAUUUGGGCUAUCAAAGGACUUGUUUUUAAUGUCAAAGGUUUAAACACCAAAACUUUUUUAUUGAAUUGGAUGAAAUGAGAUCCAACUAGGUAACCAUAAUAGUUUUCAAACAAUGAAACCAAGCCAAAACCGUUUAAAACCAAACAGAACCGAACCAAAUGGUUUGGUUUCAUUUCGGUUUUAGCCUCAAAACCGCACCGAACCAAACCGCAAAAACUUGCGGUUUUGGUUUUGGUUUCACUCAAAAUCGCACCAAACCGAACCACGCCCACCCUAUAAAGGGUGGGAUAUAUGUGUUAAAAUAUUAAUAACUUAAAAGUUGUUGUGGUCUAUUUAAUCUGACAAGUUUAGGGUGGCCGGUGGCAAGGAGAAGAAGAGAGAGAUGUGUUUGUAGAAUUGUAGGGGAAUGUGUGUGUUGUUAUCCCUCAUACAUUGUGCCUUUAUUUAUAGUAAUAUAAGGAGAGAAGAUAUUCAUUCAUCCCCAAGGAAUACAAGAUACAAUAGGAAAUGAUAAUUAGAAUAAAAUCUAAUCCUAGAAUUUACACAAUCACACUUAGACUAGGAAUGUUUACAACACUCCCCCUUGAAUGUGUAAAUACUCGAGGUAGAUUUAGCAUCAUGCAAAAGUUGAGGAAGUCAACUCAUUGACACUGAUUCUAAGGAACAAUGCUUAUUCUCAAUAAGGUAGGAACUUGCAUAAGUAGUAAGUCUCACUAAAAAAACCCUAAGGCUAUGGCAAAAACCCGAGUAAGGACAAAAUCCAUAGUCUAAGGAAAAAUGCGUGAGAAAUGCAAAAGUCCAAGAAAUGUCUACGGGACGUCAUCAGGGAUAUGACUAGCCCAAUGUGGGUGCCUCGUUAAAACCUAGUUAGGUAGCAAAAAUCCAAUGGGAAAAAUGCUCCUAAUCGUAGGGAAAAAGAGUACAUUAAGAUCAAGCAAGUAUCUACAGGAUACUCCCCCUGAGUUUGACAUAAUUCCAAAGAGAAAUAGCAAAGUUACAACUCAGAAAAUUUAAGCAUACCAAUUCCAUGAACAAGCUUUGGAAACAUCGUAUUCGGCAGUGAUUUAGUGAAAAGGUCGGCCAAAUUGUCUUGUGAACGAAUUUUCUUGACUUCAAUCUUUUGAUGUUCUUGUUGUUAAUGUGAAGAGGUCGGCACAAUGUGUUUGGUGUUGUCUCUUUUGAUGUAACUCUUCUUGAGCUGCUCGAUAUAAGUUGCAUUGUCUUCAAAGAUCGUCGUCGGGACAUUAACGACGGGAUAAAGAUCGCAGGGGCUUCGAGUAUGGUCCACUACUGCUCUUAACCAAAAACAUUCUUCAGUUACUUCUUGUAAGGCGAGAAUUUCAGCAUGGUUAGACGAAGUGGCAAUUAAGGUCUGUUUAGUUGACUUCCAAGAUAUUAUGGUGCCUCAAACGGUAAAGGCAUAACCCUUUUGAAAACGCGCCUUGUGCAGAUCAGAUAAGUAUCCUGCGUCGGCAUAACUAACAAGGUGAAAAUCAACUUGAGGAGCAUAGGGUGUGGCACCAUUCGAGGAUUCGUAGGGAUAGAACAAGCCUAAAUUCGUAGUACUCUUAAGGUAACGAAAGAUGUCUUUCACGCUAGUCUAGUGUCUGCGUGUUGGUGCAUUACUAUAUCUUGCCAACAGAUUAACAACGAAGGAGAUGUCGGGUCUAGUGCAUUGAGUUAAGUACAAUAAAGUGCCUAUAGCAAAUGAACGACCAUAGGAGUACUCGAAGAUUUCACUCUAUCUCGAGACCAAGACAGUAUCGAGUUUUACCGAGAUCUUUCAUUUCACAUUCUGACUUUCGGUGCGCGGAAAUUCUUGCGAGCUAUUCAGGAGUUCCAAUAAGAUUCAUGUCAUCGACAUAUACUGCGACAAUCGUAAAUCCGGAAUGUGACUUCUUAAUGAACACACAAGGUCAAAGUUUGUUUUUCAUAUAUCCCUGACUAGUAAAUACUCACUCAGAUGGUUAUGCCACAUUCUUCCCGAUUGUUUCAAACCGUAGAGUGAACGCCUCAGCCGAAUUGAGAGCGUGUUUCAGGGUUUGGAAAUAUUUGAACCAGUCAAUGUAAGUCUUUCGGGAACUUUCAUAUAGAUUUUCAUCUCAAGAUCCCCAUAGAGAUACACGGUUACUACGUCUAUCAGCUGCAUAUCUAGUUUUUCGGAAACUACCAAACUAAUAAGGUAGCGAAAAAUAAUCAUAUCCAUAACGGGUGAAUAAGUUUCAUCAUAGUCAAUCCCGGGACGUUGUGAGAAGCCUUGUGCAACAAGACGAGCUUUGUAACACACAAUUUAGUUAUUCUCUUUACGUUUUCAAAUGAAAACCCACUUGCAGCCAACGGGCUUCACAUGUGGAAGAGCAUGAGCUACAAGUCUAAACACUUUACGUUUCGCAAGCGAAUCGAGUUCAACUUGAAUUACUCGUUUCCAAUUUGACCAAUCAGUUCUACAUCAACAUUCAUCAACGAAACACAGUUCAAUGUCAUCGCUGAACAUGAUCUCAGUAGCUACUGCAAAUGCUAAUGCAUCGUCGACAAGCAUCUCAUUUCUACGCCAUGUAUAAUCUAAACUAGCAUAAUAAACUGAAAUCUCAUGAUUCUCGGGAGGAUGAUUCGUCUCUUCAAGGACUUUUCCAUAAUCUAGAAUUUCCUCAUGAGUUCGAUAGAAUGAGUAAGCGAUAGUCAGAUUCAAGGUAGGCUCUUCAAGACCUUUUGCCAUGGUUUUUCUCUUCUAGGGGUAUGAAUCCUUUGAACCAAGGGGUCUGCGAUGAUUUUGUGUAGGGGCAGAUGAUUGGCUAGCUGCUAAUGUACGUGGAUCACCAAGAUUGGUUUUCGGGGCUUCCACGAUGGUAGUUCAUCGUACAUUUGGUACAUCCAUCUUUGCAGGCGUAUUCGUAGCUGGAAUGUGUGAUCUUAUGACGCGCGCUUGAUCGAUGAAAGCAUCUGGCAUGUUUUGAGUUAUGCUCUGAAGAUCUAAUAUGCGCUGCACUUCAGUUUUAGACUGAGCGGUGCAUGGAUCUAAAUGAGACAAAAUGGGAGUCGUCCACUAUAAUUCGCGUCGUUUUUCAGGAACAUUAAGGUUCUUAUCUCCCCUAACGACGAGAAGAUUGUCUCAUAGAAAUGACAAUCCACGAAAUGAGUGGUAAACAGAUCGCAUGUCAAAGGUUCUAAGUAACGAAUAAUCGAAGGAGAAUUAUAUCUAACAUAGAUUCUCAUCCUUCGCUGAGUCCCCAUUUUUGUACGUAAAGGAGGCGAGAUUGGCACAUAUACCGCACAACCAAAAAUGCGCAGAUGCGAUAUGUCGGGUUCGCAUUCGGUAACUAACUGAAUGGCACUAAAUGGUUGUGCCACAACAGGCCUCAGUAUAACCAACUUUGCUGCGUGCAAUAUUGCAUGGCCCUAAGCAGCGAUCGAAAGCUUGGUACGUAUGGCCAACGAUCGAGCAAUCAUUUGUAAGCACUUAAUGAAAGCCUCUGCCAGGCCGUUCUGGGUGUGAACAUGGGGUACAUGAUGUUCAACUUCAACCCCAACCGACAAGCAAUAGUCAUCAAAAGUUUUAAAUGUGAAUAAUGUAGCAUUAUCCAAUCGAAUAGAUUUGAUCAGAUAAUCAGGGUGGUGAGCCCUGAGCUUGAUAACCUAAACCAACAGUUUGGAGAAUGCAGCGUUCCCUGUGGACAACAAACACACGUGUGACCAACAUGUGGAAGUGUCAACCAAUACCAUAAAGUAUCUAAAUGGUCCACAAGGAUGGUGAAUCGGUCCACAAAUGUCCCUCUGAAUCCGUUGUAGAAAAAUGGGAGGAUUCAAACGAAUCUUGCCAUAAGAAGGCUUAGUAAUAAGCUUUCCCAUCAAACAUGUUUGACAUGCAAUUCCUUGGAUCAAACCUAAACUUCGGGUUAGUGGAUGCCCAUGUGAAGAUUUGAGGAUACGGCGCAUCCCUAUUUGUCCAGGAUGUCCCAAACAAUCAUGUCAAAGUGUAAUUUCGUGCCCAGUCCCAGUAGUAGGGCCAGCCACAUAGUAGAAUUCAAUGGAGCGUAUGGUCGUAGUAUACAAACCACUCGGGAUACGCUCCAUCUUCUCUAGAAUACGCUUCUGGCCAUAUUCGUAUGAAGUUAUGCACAGAAAUUCAACUCCGUUUUCUACGUGGGUUUCAGCGUGGUAAUUGUUAUCUCUAAUGUCAUUGAAACUUAACAACGUUCUUCCAGAAUGUGGAGAAUAUAGUGCCUCAGAAAUGGUCAAGAUUGUACCAUUAGACAACAUUAUAUGUGCCUUACCGUCUCCUUUUAUCAGGUUGAAUGGGCUUGAGAGGGUUGUCAGAGGUGCAUUCUUAGGUAUGAAAUUAGUGAAAUAGAUGCGUUCACGCAAAACUGUGUGCAUAGUUGCACUAUCUGCUAGACAAUUAACUUUCCCACUAGUUAUACCUAGAAUGAAAAAUUAAUUGAAUCGGUCACAUGCAUAAAAGUUUUAUAAAAAAAACAAGUAUCAAUUCAAAAUAAUUUCAUUUAUUCAAGGAUUAAAAACUUAAUAUCCAAAACAAAUCACCAACUAAUAAUCCAAACAUAAAGGAAAAUUAUUCAAAACUUAACCAAAAACAAAGGCCACUAGGUGGAAUUCGGCCCCAAUUAUCUUAUUUCAACUAAAAAUAAGUUUAUGUCUAAGAUUCUAAUCUUCCAUAGGGGUGUUUAGGGGUUGGAAAUUUUGCCAUAAACCAAUUUACUAACUGAACCAUACCGGUCGGCUUAUAAUAGUAUGGUAUAAUUUUGUCAUUUUUUCAUAAUUGGUUGACAUUUUACCGAACCGACAAUUAAUGGCAUGGCUUUGGUAAUUGAUUUUGUAUGCCGGCGGUAUGCCAUACCUACCAAUAUAUAUUUUUCUAUUUAGAUAUUUUAGUUAUUUUUUACAUGCUUAACUUCUCCCUAUUACUAUAAAUCAGAAUCUGAUUGUCCAUACUCUGUGCCGCAAGCUAAUUGGAAUAAUGGGGCAACGAAAUUGAUGGCAUGGAAUGCAUAUGAGGCUCACUAAUAUACUUAAUAACCACAGGGAUCCCAAACUCCCAUAAGCAAAGCGACUUGUCAUCAUUGGAAGUAACAAACCUACGGUUAUUGUCCACAAAUGUAAUCGUAAUCACAACACCCAAAUGUUGAUCAUACUUUUGCAAACCUACAGUUAUUAUCCACACUUUCCUUAUUUGCAAACCACCGGUUGUGCCAUUUACCAACCGAACCAACCAAUAAUUUUGGCUGACCCGAUUUUUGGCAACAGCAAAAAGACAGUUGGCUAGCAGUAAUUGAUUUUCGAUAAUUAUGUAUAUGUGGCUGGCAGGUGGUACAAGGAAUUGGGCACGAUUUUCCAACUGAACCCAACCUUAAGGGUGGUAUCCUCUUGAAAAUCAGAAACAUUCAUAUUUGUAGUCUCCGAUUUGUCCACUUGCAUGAAGUUUGAUUCAAACUUCUUACGACGAGAAUGAUAUUCAUCUAUAACCUUCUUGAAAGCUCGGCAAACACAAGACCAAUGGUCCUUUAAACCACAACGAUAGCAUAUGUCUGCAUCCAUGGUUUCAAGUGCUUUGCCCUUGUUCUUGAAGUUUAAGGCCUUAGGAGUGAGGUUUGGGCGCUUAUGGGCUUUGUUUCCUCCCUUGGAUGGGCCUUGACUCUAUUGACCUGGGUGGGAUGGCUUCUGGCCACCCCUACCACGACCCCUUUGGCGUUUUGGGUGUUGGUUAUUACUAUAAUGUGCUUCAGGUAUAGCAGUCGCCCCAGUAGGUCGAGCUUGAUGAUUCUUCAUCAAUAGCUGAUUCUACUUUUCAGCGAUAAGUAAAACAGAGAUCAAAUCUGAGAACUUAGUGAACUUCUGAGCUCUAUAUUGUUGUUGUAGGACAAUAUUAGAAGCAGAGAAGGUUGAAUAAGUCUUAUCCAGGAGAUUUUUUCAGUUAAAGUUUCAUUGCAAAACUUGAGAAGUGAUCGGAUUCGACAAACUUCAGAAUUAUAUUAAUUCACAGGCUUAAAGUCUUGGAAGCGCAAGUGCUGCCAGUCGUGUCUUGCUUCAGGCAAGAAUAUGUCAUUUUGGUGAUCAAAACGAUCAGCCAAAGCGACCUAUAAUGCACGUGGAUCCUCCUCAGCAAGAUAUUCAGUUUACAGAGCGUCAUGAAUAUGUCUUCGGAUGAAGAUCAUAGCAGUGGCUAUUUUAGCUUAGCCAACAGGCUCGUCCGUUGUUUCUUCAAUGGAAGGACGCAAGUUCUUUGCAGUGAGGUGGAACUUCAUAUCUUGGACCCACUUGAGGUAGUUCCUUCCAGAGACCUCUAAAGCGAUGAAAUAUAGUUUGUUCAAAUUUGACAUGUUCCUAUCACAAAAUAGAUGGACAAGAUAUGGUUAGUGUAAUGGAGAAAAAAUCAAUCCAUUCAUCUACGAGUAGAACAUACAGGUUCUAAUAGACAUAAUUUGGUUUAAUUUUGCAUGAAAAACUUCGGGUUUUCAUGGGUGAUGUGUUUAAAUGAAAAACUUCAGGUUUUCAAACAAGGCAUGUUUAUAAGAAACUUCAGGUUUCAAAAUAAUUAUGAACUUCAGGUUCAUAUAUUGUUGCAAGCAAACACAAAUAUAUAUAUGCAAACAAAUAUGCAACGAGAAUAUGCAAAAAUAUAAUUUCAGGUUUAUAAUUAUAAUUAAAUUUUAAUUAUUUGGAUUUCGGGCCAAAUUAAAGUGUGGGUGAAAAAAUAUAAAACCCAUUGGGCCUAAAAUAAUUAGGUGAAGAAAACUCGGGGCCCAAAAGAAAUGCAAAAGCCCACGGGGUGGCUUAAUAAAAUUUGUGCCAUGCACUCCAGGUCAAUAAUGGGCUGGAUUUGGACUCGAGUGUAGGCUACAGGCCUACAGGGAGAACGGGACAAUGAGGGUGGGUUGUUGUAGGCAAGCCCAAGGAAUACAAGAUACAAUAGGAAAUGAUAACUAGAAUACAAUCUAAUCUAUGAUUUACACAAUUACACUUAGACUAUGAAUGUUUACAACAAAAAUUAAAAAUUUCCACCAUUUACAUAAAAACACGUGGUGUACCAUCCGUAUUCCCAACACAACUAAAAAUUUCUCCUAUUUUUUGUAAUACCGAAGAAUUCUAGCCAUUGGAUUGGUCGAGAUUAAAAUCAAACGUUCGUUUUAAUAAAGACCCAUACUAUUUUCUCUCCUCUUCUCGAACUCAGCCCCUUGUCCCUCUCGACUUCCACUCUCUCGUCUAUGUCUCUAACCUUUCCUCGUGCUAAACACUGCGCACCCACCACUCUCUCGUCUUCACUCGCCCAUCAUUCCACCACCAUUACAGCCAUUUUUCAAAGAGCCAGGAACUCCACAUAAGAUUGAUAGCUGGUGUACCAGAGCAAUAAGAGAUGGACACAUAACUUUUAAUAUUUUUUCUUUAAAUACAUAUGAACACAUAAUCGAAAACCAAGAAAACUUCCAUCAAACGUUAAGCAUUCACCACCUCUUCCCUUUCCACCGUCGAUGGCAUUGUCGGACCCACCCCAAAUCCCGACGACAUCAUCGGAAUAUAAACCCUUGCCGGCUUCUUCCUCUUUAGCUACAUCAUCGGAUUCCCUAGACCCGAACGCGACAACCCGAUCGGCGGCUCCAAGAUCUAAAUCAUAAACUCUGUCAAACUGCCAUCCAUGAUGAAUACCCGUCCGUCCUUGGUUUCAUCCUUGCUCCGAUGGCCUUCCACUACUCUUUUAUGGAGACACCAAUCAGUUAAGAAAUUAAAGGAAAAAAAAAUUGCAUUUUCUUAAAAAAUCACUGCAAUCUACCUCCAUGUAUUCCUCUUAAACCCAAAAACAUUCAUACUAUGCAUAAAUUCAUGAAUGUUUGAAAUUGUGAAAAACCCAGCUCAAAAAAAAUUAAAAAAUUCGAGCAAAAGGGGUAUAUUCAAUUGAGAUUUUGAGGGAUUUUAAUUCUUUUAAUGAAUCUAGGAGUAUCCAAUCAGGAAUUUAAGUGAUUCUCUGACAUUCAAUGUGUAUUCAAUCAGGAUUUUAAGAUAGUUUAUUAAAAUCCUUAGAAAUCUGGGUGUAUUCAAUUAGGAUUUUAAAGAAGUUUAUCACAUUACAGGUGUAUUCAAUUAGAAUUUGAUUUUAAAGAAUUUGAGAAAGUUGAGGAAUUAGAGGGAAUUGGAGAGAUUUCGUAGUGUAUUUUGAGCAUCCACAAAUCUCACCUCUCCCCAAGAGAUUUCGAGGGAAUUGAAUCAAAAUUUUACAUAGAAUCUCUAUAAAUCAAUUAAACUCCAUAAAAAUCCAUGGAUUUAUAAAUCUAUUAAAAUCUCUCAAAUUCUCAAUUGAAUACACCCUCCUAAAGGGAUUUGAGAAGAACUAUGCAGAAGCCAUGACGGCCGUUAUCUUCUCAGUUAUCAAGCCCACCGUUUUGGAAGUCACAUAAAUUGUUUUAAUUGAAAAAGAAAGCAGGCCACAUGCCUGCCUGUAAUUGGCCUGGUACUCCAGAUCAGGAAAAAUUUCUCCUAUUUUUCCUCCACCGCCAAAAUUAAAAUCUUGGAUUGGAUGAACCUCAACCCCCAUAAUCAAGGCUAUUACAUCUAGGUAAGUGUUACCCAUUGUGAAGUUUCAAAUUAGGUUUUUUUUUCCUUCGAAUUAGGGGAUUGAUUUCAGAAUUUGUGAAUAGUGAUUGUGAACUCUUAGUUAUAGCGUAGUUGGUCGAAAUAUGGACUACCCAACCGCAAUUCACAGUAAAUUAACGUUGUCGACUUGAGUACUAUAACCCUAAUGAUUUGAUUUUGUUUUGAGCAUAGUCACACACACAACACAUAAUGAGCUAAACUACAAGACGUAAGUGCAUAUUAUUUUCCUUUUCCUAAUUCAUUUAGGGUACCAAUCGAGUGCUCAUGCACGCAACUGGUUUCAAGGAGACAUACUCUAGCAUUUCUCCUUGUAUUCAGGAAUAGUAGAAGCCGCACUUUUUCAGUAAAAUGUUAACGUUCGGUGGUUGAAACUUGAAAGUCUGAAUUCGAUGAGUUACAUCCAUGACAAUGUUUUGUCAUAGUCUUGUCUUCUCUAUUAUUGCGGAUCAUGGACAUAGACAAACUCGCAGGUGCUAAAUGACAAGGGAACAAAAGCAGGUCGACAACCAGUUCAGAAAAUUAACUCGAAUUACCUCUUCAAUACUCAUACAGAAAGAAAAGCAAUACUCAUAUCGCUUGUACUAAUCUAUAUAGUAUUCAACCAGAUAGUUCUCUACUUACUAUUUGUAUCAAUGAUAUACUAUAGUUCGGACCAAAAUGGUGUCGCUUUACGGUUUAGGGUUUACAUUAAAAAUAGAUUCAAACGUAGAUGUAAACAUCUACCCUGCCUUUAUCUCCAGAUAUUAAUCCUUUCAAUAUUUUCACAACCCUCACAUCGAUUAGGUGAUAAAACAUAAAUUGCCAUGUAUGUGCAAAUGUCAUCCUCAUUAGUAAGUGUCAUUUCGGCUAUGUUUGGAUGAUGAUUUUUCAAGUUAUAAGGGAUUGAUGUCAAGUUAUGAAGUAAGAGGUCAUAAAAUGUUAUAUACAAGGGAUUAGAAAAGCUUAGAAAAGCUCUCUACCAGCAUUACAGUUUAACAAAGGCAUGUGAGAGGGAUUUGUACAUGACACCUCUCAUUGGUCCCAAGUAGGCAUUAGCAAAUCCCUCUCGUAUGCCUAUUUAAUGUUGAUGGAGGGUUUACCCGAAUGCUUCUAUGUUUCAUUUUGCGGCUCAUUUCUCAAUAACUUGACAUCAAUCCCUUGAAACUUGAAAACUCUUAUUCAAAUACAGCCUUCGGGUUUUGAAAGCUCAGAACAAAAUAGUUACGACAACUCCUUCAUUUUGAGUCACUAGUUAUCAAAUCCAGCUAAAUAAUUGCUUCAGGUUCUAAGCUACGUAAUUGAAUCAACAAACAUGAUACGUUACCGAAACCUCUUUGACAAUGCAAGGAGAGUUUCAUAGUCUCAUAUAGCAAAAUAAAUCAACACGCUUGGGCCGAAACUUGAUUGCGGUAUUAUAUUCCUGAUUUGUAGAAUUGCCUUUGCGUAAUUAGGUUUUAUCACUGUUCUUGUUAUACACACAGUUGUAACCAUAUUGGUACCUCUUCACGCAUUAAAAACUCCCACAUGUUCACUCUUGCUUGAGCAUUCAGUUUGACUUGGUACCAGAUCAAUGUAUUGGUCCCUUGAUCAAUGUACCAAUUUGGUGGCUCCAUGUAUGAUGUCCUGAAAAUGGUGUCUCCUUCAUGUCUCCUUCUUUAUUUAUUUGACACGUGUACCACCACUUAACUCUAACCUAACUAUGUUAACUUUUACUAAACUGUAAAAUUAAAGGCACCAUAGCUGGUGAAACCUUUCAGCAUCCUAAGAAACCCUUCAACAUCCUCCCCCAAUCUAUCACCGCAGCCACCAAACCCAAUCUCUCCACCAUGCAUUUCGGCCACGAGAUGGAUCGAUUAGAUUAGAUAUUCUCAAUCUAUCGCCGCAGCCACCAACCCCAACCCUUCAGCAUCCUCCCCCAAUCGAUCGAUAUGAUAUUCUCAAAUUUCAAACUUCACACACUGUUUGUUGGCUAUGACGAGAUGGAUUGAUCACAUACCGACCGAUUAGAUAUCCCAAAUUUCAAAUUUCAACUUCACACGUGUUGACGAGAGUACGGGAAUUUGAAAAGAGAGGAGGGAAAGGAAAGAAAGCUUUGCUGCUGUGAGGAGCAGCAUCGGCAGCGAUGGGGUGGUGUCACUGGUGUGGUUGCAGUGGUCAACGACAAUGGGAUUCUGUAGUUGCAGUGGAUAGUUAUCGAAUAGGUUUUUAUUUUCUUUAAUUUAUAAUUUUUCAAUUAGUUUAUAAAAAAUUUGUUUGUACUAUAUAUUGGGCUUUAGUAUUUGAGCCUCAUAACCUAGCCCAUUAUUUAUGUAAGAGGUGAAGGAAACCCUUAUUCUAUAAAAGGGAUCUUUCACCCUCAUUGGAAGGGGAUAGACAUAUAGCAAAGGGAAGCACAGAGGGCAGCACACAGAGAGCUCCCUUCCUUGUCCAUUGUAAUCCACACAUUUACAUAGUGAAACGGAAUCGAGACCAGUGUGGACGUAACCCAACUUGGGUGAACCAUGAUAUAUCUUUGUGUUCUCAUGCGUUUGUGUGAUUCACGGUCGGAUUUACGUUGGUUAAAGAUCGACCCGAUUUUGUGCAUCAACAAAAUUAACAGUGUUAACAUUGGUGUUAAAUUAAUAGACAAAUGUCAAAAAAUUAAGAACGAGAUACAAAUGAGACAUCAAAUUCGGGACAACAGAUCCCUGGCCCAAUUUGGUACCCUUGCAUUUGUUUGUUAUGGUCAAUGAAAUACUGCUAUCGUUUCUUGUCAUAAAAAAUUAAAAAAAAAAUAAAAACUUGGUAUAAGACCAAGGUAUAUAUUACCCUUAUAUUUGUUUGUCAUGGUCAAUGAAACACUGCUAUUGUUUCUUGUCAUAAUAAAAAAAACAAAAAAAAACUUGGUAUAGGAGCAAGGUAUAUAUUCUCCCCCGUUCUAAGUAAUGUAUUCUCCUCAUUCUAAUUAAGCAAGGUAAUUCAGUCAACAUUGUGUUAUGCAUAUAUAUCUCUUUGCGUUGCAGGACAUCGAAUGAAUGUUUCAACACGCGUAGAAUCUCAUAUCACUCGGUAAUGAAACUCUUUCCACCUAGCUAUAGUGCCUUUUAUUUUUUCUUGGUAAUUUUUCUUGUCUUUAUAUAUAUAAACAAAAGGGUGGAAGGAAUAGAACUCGUUAUCCACAAUAUUUAAAUAUAAGACAUCUCAUUUAUAAGUGUAGAAAAAUAACAUCAAUCGUAGUUCUUCACCAGUUGAGUUUUAGUCCAAGAACUUAUGGCUCGUUUACGUAACUAUAAUCAAAAUAGGAGGAAUUGUAAUGAGGGGUCAGAAUUGGAUUCCUGUUAAAGUUGUUUACUUAAAUAUUCUGGAAUCAGAGUAGGAAUGAAAUUGAGUUCAUAUAACUUGUUUACUAGUUCACCUGAAUCGGAAUAGAAAUCAAUAUAAUUACUAAAAUGCCCUUUAGUUCUUUAUUUUUAUUUUUAUUUCAUAUAUAUUUAUUUUUAAUCACAUUUUCAUUAGAGCAACUCCACCCCAUUGGGGUAGGCCGACUCAAAGUCUAAAAAAUAGGCUAGCCUACACAAAAAAUGGUCUAGUCGAGCCUAAUAGGUUGGCACCUAGCCCAAGCCAGUCCAUAGGAUGGUCCAAAACGUGUUGAGCAAUGUGCUGGGAUGUGUGACAUCACAACCCACUACAGAUUUUUUUUUUGCGUCAAGAGCAUGGGAAACAAGCUCGAGUGGGCACACGUUCCCAACAAAAAAACGGUGGUGGGGCCCCUCGUUGCAGCGCACUAAUUAGUACCGGGCGAGUAGCCACGUGGCUCGUUCUGGGCUGUUGGAUUUCCAAUUGCUAGUUUUCUGGACCGUUGGAUUUCCAACGGUAAAAAAAUUUUGAAUUUCAAAUCCAACGGCUAGUGACAUGGUGCGUUCUAGGCCGUCCGAUCCCGAGAUCAACAGUUCAUGAUUUUCGUCCAAAAAUGAAAAAAAAAAAACACAAUGGUCAGAAUUAUGACCAUUUUCCACGUGUCCACAUAUGUGUUGUUGGAUUUGAAUCUUUUUCAAUUCCAACGGUCCAUAUUAAUUAACUUAAAAAAAAUUAUUAAUUUUUUCUAUAAAUACCUAACCAUCAUCUUCCACCUUAUACUACAUUUCAAUAUUUUCAACACUUUCAACCAAAGUUUUCAUAUACUUUUUUGUGGAAAAAAUGGCUACGUGGAAGCUCAUUGAAGAUGUUACAUUGUGUCAAUGCUAGGUUCAAAAUACUCAUGACCCGUUUAAGGUUAAUGAAAUGGAGUUGCGAGAAAUGUGGGCUAUAAUUACGGAGGCGUUUUGUGAUAGGCUUGGAGAUCGCACAAGAAGUAGUCAAGGUCUUCAAGGUCGUUGGAAAAAACUCAACAUAUCCUUUACUUGUUGGAAAAACGCUCUCUCUCAUACUUCAACUAAUCUGAGUAGUGGGAGAAGUUUAGUGGAUCAGGUGACAAUAUUUUUAUUUAUUUAUAUGUAUUCCACCCGCAUCAAUAUUUUAAUUUAUUUAUUUGUGCUACACCCGCAAUUUAUAAUAUUGUCUUAUCCCACAUUUUAUAGACACUACAAGCACAAACAUUGUACAAUGCAAAGAACAACAACAAAUCAUUCACCAAAUAGGAAUGUUGGAAUGUUGUCAAAGAUUGUCCUAGAUACAAACUUGUGCCAACCGGUCCAAAAGUUAUCAUGCACGGCAUCCCUCUACACAGUUCACCAGAAGCAGA
This 24811-nucleotide long non-coding RNA is filed under the name Malus domestica (apple). RNAcentral describes it as "long non-coding RNA (MDOM_LNC017641)". The record is from RNAcentral. Lineage: Eukaryota; Viridiplantae; Streptophyta; Magnoliopsida; Rosales; Rosaceae.